CCUCAAAGACGAUGAGGUAGAUAGGUUCGAGGUGGAAGUGUGGUGACACAUGGAGCUGACGAAUACUAAUCGAUCGAGGACUUAACCAAAA
Molecule: ribosomal RNA, 91 nt
Filed under: Lysinibacillus sphaericus
Lineage: Bacteria; Bacillati; Bacillota; Bacilli; Caryophanales; Bacillaceae
Description: partial 23S ribosomal RNA
Rfam family: Bacterial large subunit ribosomal RNA
Source: RNAcentral